GUGGAAUCAGAGCAUAGCCAUAAUGGCAAGCCGUCCAUGUGAUUAUGGCUAACACUGCCUCCUGUGGGAGCAAGUUCCAUAGUUAAAUUAUGGGCUGCAUGAAGAAGUACGGUACUUAUUUAUUUAUCUGUCCUGAAUCUUCCAACAUUCAGCUUCAUUGGAAGUCUAUGAAUUCUAGUAUUAUGAGAGAGGGAGAAGAACUAUCCACUUUCUCUAUUCCAUACAUAACUUUAUAAACAGACUGAAAAUAGAUUCAUCCAUCCUUAACCAUCUCUCCCACAUGCUACUAGCCCUAAUAUAUGGAGGAAUAGCUAGUCCUAACCACACUCAAACUGCUUCUUGUUAGUAUUUAUAAUUUGUAGUAAAACCAACCCAGCAUAAUAUGCAAUAAAACUGGCCCAAAUACGGUACUUCAGUUCACUUGACCAACAUCCCUCGACAGAUCAGUUCCAAGCUGCUGAUGCCUGAGUGACAGGAGACUGCUGAUCUCGAUGAACAACUUAAACUCCUGUUUUCCCAUGAAGACUUGAACGUGCUUGGGAAAAAGUUAGGGCGCACAGGGAAGCCACAAUCUGGCAAAGGUCUUGACAGGCAUUUCAUAGCACAAUGAACAGAAUAAUACAGCUGCCUGUGUCUUCCUGUUACUUUUAUUCAAGCAGUUCAAGUUUUUGGAAGCAAGUGGAAAUUAACAGUAACUUGUAAAACAACAAAAUGUGUAGCAGAAUUAUAUACUAAAAUGUCUCUUUCUUUCAAGAAUCCAUUGAUUUCUGCUUCAUUGUUACAAGUAGUACAGGGCACAAACAAAUAGAUUUAACAAAAGAAGUAACUUCUAUUUUCUUUUUUCUUUUGAAUGCUGCUUUCCCCUUCAUUAAGAACAACACGAAUAUAUUUCUCAACUUUGGUGCCUUUCCGCAGCAGAACAUUUGCAGUACUUAGCAUUAUAUUUAGCAAUAGGACGUGUUAAAAACCAAAUUUUUAUCAGGAACUUAAUCGUGGAAUUAUUGAAGUGCAAGUACUAAUAGUUAACCAUACUUUAAUUAUAGCAGCCCUAAUCAUUAAUCUUGUCCAAUUUUAUGGCUGAACAAUAUGCCCAUUUAUCACAUUAAAUUACCAUGCCAAUUAUUUCACUGUGGCAAUUAAAUAGUUGCAUACAGGGAGAAAAAUACUACCCCCCUCUAAAAUAAAAUAACCAGCAAUAUCAGAACUGCUUGUAGUGUCUCCUUACCCAAAAUGGGUUUGAAGGGAUGGAAUGGGGUUAUGUGCAUCCACUUCAUCAGCUCUGAUGGUGCCAGCUAGUUGUCCUCUUUUCUUGUUUUAGUUGCCUAAAGCCACUGUGUACACCUGGCCUAGUAUUCCAUGCAAGGUGACAUUGGGAGGGGGCAAGAAUCACAGCGAGGCGAAUGAAAGCGGCACAGAAGAUGAUGCAAGACAGAAGAAAGUGAGUAAAAAAGGCGGGGAAGGCGAUAGAGAGAGUAAAAGGCAAUACCAUAAAAUGAAAGAAAGUGGGAGGGGUGGAGAAGAAGAAAGGGUAGAAAUAUCUGAGAACACGAAGAAGCAGAGAGGAAAAGGUAAGGGGUGGGGCCAAGGGUGGACAAGGAGUGUGGUUUGAGGUAGAAAGAUGGGGCCAGGAGGCCCACUGAUGCCCACUGCCCCAGAGUCCCCAUAAAGCUGGUGCUGAGCUUGGUUGGAACUCAUGAAACUGACUGGUGUAAUUAAAAAAUCCACAAAAAAUAUAGAACAACUGUGUAGAGAGGGGAUAUGGCAAUCAGAUAUUUGGUAGGGGAGGUAAGGCAAGAGGCUGGCAGAGCUGAGUUCAUGAUGUUGUGAGCAUGUGAAUAAGCCAAGGAAAUAAAAGUAAGGAAGCAAAGGAAAAAAUCUUAAUUUUGUAGUUUAAAGUAUAGAGAAAACCUUCACUGAUGAAAUUUGUAACUGACUGUGCCUCUGUAUGUCUACUCUGUGUUUUGCCUUUUGUAUGAUCAAUUAUUUAUUUAUUUAUUAAUAAAAAGAACUUGCAAAUCAUAGGCAAUAUGCACAUUAUAUUUGUGAUGGUUCACUUCACAAAUACAAAUCACCACUUGAUGUGCAUUAAUCAAACGCUGCAUCUGCAUGUCUAAACAAGUUACAAAAUACCGAAGUACUUGUGUUCACUUUUUACCCCACCUGCUUCUCCUCUGAGCUUAGUCUCUUGACUUGUCUUCUACAUUUAGGUUAGACUUAUAAAUACCACAAUCCAGCCUGGUUUGAACGCAUUAUUACCUCAGCCUUGAUUGAAACAGAACUUUAUGGUCAUGCAAGCAGCUUUUCAAAGUGCAAAUCAGACUUUUGUUUGAACUUUUUACAGUUACAUGUAAAACACAGAGCAGUUCAAAAGUAUUGGAAUUCUGUAAUUUUCUAUAAGCACUCAAGCAGGUUUGUGGUUUAAAGUUAUUAGAGCACAAUUUAUUUUUUAGGACAGCUUCAGUCUUCCAUACUGAAAUUUCAUUUCUUAUGGUCAAAGACUAUGUUUGGCUUGUUGUUAACUAAUUCAUAGAUGGGUGCAAAUGUAGAAGCAGAAAUAGAAAACCAACAAUUUAAAUGGUUUCUGGUAGAAAAUAAUGAUCAAGUCUUUCAAUUAUUUUUCUGCCAAGGCUAAAUGAAAAAUUAUUCAAUUAUACAUUGUUGAACAUGAUAGAAGAAGACUUGUACAGAAUGAUUCGCAUAAAACAAAUUGCAACAGCAGACAGACACUUCUUCAGAAACGGAAAAAUAUAUAUGAUGAAGGUAUUAACGAUUCACAAGCACAUAUACGUGUGGCCUGGGAAAUAAAUAAAUAGAUUAAAACCUGCAAAUGGUGAGAAGACCCUCCCUGGAGCAUGAAAAGGACUUCAAUUUGGGGAGGAAGCCCCAAAGAGACCGGAGGUGCAGUGGGGUUUUGUUUAGGCUGCUCAGCUUCCCUGCCUAGCGGCUGAUGCAUGGGGCAGCACAGCAGCAGCAGUCGCUUUCCUGCACAUCCCCCAGCGCUUCAACUUUAGUUAAAGAGAUGGUUGUGUGGAGAGAAGGUGGCAGCAAGAGCUGGAGAGCAAGACAAAAUUUAGAGACUUUUAAGAGGGUGCUUCCCACUUAACACAAUUUUCACUUAUGCGUGCAGGGGUCUAGAAUGUAACCCGUGCGUAAGUGGAGAGACACGGGUACACACUUUCCCUGCACACAACCCUGGUGAACCCUGCCCAUCUCAGUACAGCUGAAGUGUUAGGGACCACCCAAACGGACAUGCAUUCCCUAUUCCAUAUGAAUCAGAAGGUCAUUUGGUUAGGAAACUAAUUUUGGGUCAUUCCCUAGAGUAAUUUCUUAAAUCUGGUUUCAAUAUCAUUUCCAAACCAAGGUGCUAGAUUAAUAUAAGAUUAUUAAUAUUGCAUUUUCUCUCUACACUCAUAAAAUGAGCAUCUGCGGUUUCAAUUUUGCAGGUGUCUGAUACUGCCUAUCAAAGCCUUUAAAAAUAAAUAGCAGCAUAAAGUAAUUUCUCGGACCCCUCUUAACAAAAGUAGAAGAUAUUGCUGUUGUUCAUCAGAAUCCCCGACAGUUUUGUUUUAACAUGGGGAUCUUUUGCUUCCACAGUGUUAGAAAGUUAGCUAUCUUGAGGGAAAGUGUGUGAGAGAGAAACUGAGGCUGUAUACACAGCUGUGUUCAGUGCCAGAUUUAUGUAAAAGCUAAACAAGCUAUAGCUUAGGGCCCCACUCUCUUGGGGGCCCCCAAAAAAUUUAAAGGAAAAAAACAACUGGAUGUACAUUUCCAAAAUAUAAGAUAAAAAACAAAUAAAAUAAAACCUACGUACAGCAACAGGGGUUUGUGUUGUGUAGGUCCAUAAAUUACCAUAUAGCAUAUAUUCAACACAAAAAACAGUGACAAUUUGUUGUUGACAAAGGACAGCUGGACAUAUAAAGGGCCCCAUUACCUUCAGUAGCUUAGGGCCUCAUCAAACCUAAAUCCGGCCCUGGCUGUGUUGCUCCAGCAUGUUCCCACCACUAGAGUUUGAAGCAGAGGCUACAUGAUGUUAGCCACAAUCUACAGGUAACUGCUUGAGGAAUGCUGCUGUUUGAUGUGCUUUCCUGCAAAUCAGUUUCCAUCCAAUUGGAAAGCUGAAGCCGUGGUUAAGCUGAGGCGUGUAUAGUUCAGGCAGCCAUUGUGCAUGCGCAGAAGGCAGCUUCAGUGAAUUGGAAUUUGAGGCAGGGAAAGAAAUUGGAGAAUGGGUCUCAGGUGGAGACAUCCUCAGAAUGCAACUUAAAACACAACGGGAAGUAGGGGAAAAUUUAGUCUGGAUUUAUGUACAAUUUCCUACUUAUUUCAGAUCUCUUGGUUCCUUCGUGCUUCUCCCUGCAUUACAGGUGUUCUUAUUCACCUUACUAAAAUGCUCCCGAAAGCCAACCAUGAUGCAUUCAUACUUCUAGGUAACUCAGAAAAGAUCCCUUUUGUGCUAUCUUUUACUGAUGUGCAAAUAUGUAUAUUGGUAAAAUGCCGUACAAAAAGGGAUUGUGCUGCAAUUGGUGCCCAAUAAGAUCACGUCGUGAUUGCUUCUGUUUUGCAGUGUUUAAUCCUUGCAGCUCUUUGCAUCGGGAAUGUAGAGGGAGGAAGAGACAAAGGAACCGAAGCUGCUGAAAAUAGAUCGCAUUCUGAAUAAAGUUUAGAGAUUCUUUAAAGGCAACAAUGAAAGAUUCCUAAUGUGUCGUUUUCCUAAUGUGUCAUUUCAGAAACAAGAAGUAAUUACAAAUCCAAAAUUUGGGGAAGUUCGGAGGAGGGGAAUUUUAGAAGGAAAAUAUCUGUUACACAGAUCUCUGUAGGGCACUUCACAGAAAUGUUGAGUAGCCCCCAUUUCCACAGCAUGAAACAUUUGUCUGAAAGAGGAAUGCCUGCAAAGGCACAUGAUACCAUCACCUUGAUAAAGCUUACGAAGUCUGGGUCUGGUCAGUGUCUGGAUGCAUAUUUGCCUGGGAACCCCAUGUACGCAGAGACUUGGGUUCUAUGCUGAAGGAAAGGCAGGAUAUAAUGAAACAAGCAAAUGCGGGCCAAUUACUGCAUCUGGAAAAGCAAUCCUAGUUUGUCCAUACUUGUGCCUCACCUCCAAAUGCUACAGAAUAAGCAUGGUGUUGGUGACGAUACAUUGUGCUAAUAUAUUGGGUGACAGGUUUUUCAAUCAGUGGAGACAUCCAAUUCUUUUUUUCUGCCUGCAGCUCCACAUACCAACCAUUGUGAAG
This is a non-coding RNA of Podarcis lilfordi (Lilford's wall lizard), 5228 nucleotides long. The record is from the annotation of a GenBank genome assembly. Lineage: Eukaryota; Metazoa; Chordata; Lepidosauria; Squamata; Lacertidae.